This 472-nucleotide ribosomal RNA is filed under the name Streptococcus mutans. RNAcentral's name for it is "bacterial SSU rRNA". It matches the Rfam family "Bacterial small subunit ribosomal RNA", at positions 28 to 474 of the family's 1533-position model. Lineage: Bacteria; Bacillati; Bacillota; Bacilli; Lactobacillales; Streptococcaceae. The record is from RNAcentral.
GACGAACGCUGGCGGCGUGCCUAAUACAUGCAAGUGGGACGCAAGGGAACACACUGUGCUUGCACAUCGUGUUUUCUUGAGUCGCGAACGGGUGAGUAACGCGUAGGUAACCUGCCUAUUAGCGGGGGAUAACUAUUGGAAACGAUAGCUAAUACCGCAUAAUAUUAAUUAUUGCAUGAUAAUUGAUUGAAAGAUGCAAGCGCAUCACUAGUAGAUGGACCUGCGUUGUAUUAGCUAGUUGGUAAGGUAAGAGCUUACCAAGGCGACGAUACAUAGCCGACCUGAGAGGGUGAUCGGCCACACUGGGACUGAGACACGGCCCAGACUCCUACGGGAGGCAGCAGUAGGGAAUCUUCGGCAAUGGACGAAAGUCUGACCGAGCAACGCCGCGUGAGUGAAGAAGGUUUUCGGAUCGUAAAGCUCUGUUGUAAGUCAAGAACGUGUGUGAGAGUGGAAAGUUCACACAGUGACG